Molecule: ribosomal RNA, 464 nt
Filed under: uncultured bacterium
Lineage: Bacteria
Description: partial 16S ribosomal RNA
Rfam family: Bacterial small subunit ribosomal RNA
Source: RNAcentral
CUACGGGUCGCUCCAGUGAGGAAUUUUGCGCAAUGGGGGAAACCCUGACGCAGCGACGCCGCGUGGGUGAUGAAGGCUUUCGAGUCGUAAAGCCCUGUCAAGUGGGAAGAAGUGUAUAUGUGCUAAUACCACAUGUAUUUGACGGUACCACUAAAGGAAGCACCGGCUAACUCCGUGCCAGCAGCCGCGGUAAUACGGAGGGUGCGAGCGUUGUUCGGAAUUACUGGGCGUAAAGGGCGCGUAGGCGGCGUAGCAAGUCAGGUGUGAAAGUCCAUGGCUUAACCAUGGAAGUGCAUCUGAACUGCUAUGCUUGAGUAUCGGAGAGGAAAGUAGAAUUCCCGGUGUAGAGGUGAAAUUCGUAGAUAUCGGGAGGAAUACCUGAGGCGAAGGCGACUUUCUGGACGAAUACUGACGCUGAGGCGCGAAAGCGUGGGGAGCAAACAGGAUUAGAUACCCGCGUAGUC